GCCUGGGUAGCUCAACUGGUUGGGCGUCUGACUUCAGCUCAGGUCGUGAUCUCAUGGUUUGUGGGUUCAAGCCCCACGUCGGGCU
This 85-nucleotide transfer RNA is filed under the name Felis catus (domestic cat). It matches the Rfam family "tRNA". From Rfam's summary of the family: Transfer RNA (tRNA) molecules are approximately 80 nucleotides in length. Their secondary structure includes four short double-helical elements and three loops (D, anti-codon, and T loops). The record is from Rfam by way of RNAcentral. RNAcentral also lists the same sequence under 2 other names. Lineage: Eukaryota; Metazoa; Chordata; Mammalia; Carnivora; Felidae.